AAUCUUCCACAAUUGACGGAAGUCUGAUGGAGCAUCGCAGCGGGAUUGAAGAAGGUCUUCGUAUCGUUAAUCUCUGUUGUAAGGGACGAACACGUCAGGGAGUCACUGCCCGUACCUUCACGGUACAUUAUCAGAUAGCCAACACUAACUACGUGCAAGCAGCCGCGGUAAUACGUAGGUGGCAUGCGUUGUCCGGAAUUAUUGGGCGUAAAGCGAGAGCAGGCGGUCCUUUAAGUCAGAUGUGAAGGCCCGCGGCUCAAUCGUGAAGGGUCAUUGGAAGCUGGAGGAAUUGAAUGCAGAAGAAGGAAGCGGAAUUCCACGUGUAGCGGUGAAAUGCGUAGAUAUGUGGAGGAACACCAGUAGCGAAGGCGACUUUCUGGUCUGUAACUGACGCUGAGGCGCGAAAGCGUGAGCAGCAAACA
Molecule: ribosomal RNA, 422 nt
Filed under: uncultured bacterium
Lineage: Bacteria
Description: partial 16S ribosomal RNA
Rfam family: Bacterial small subunit ribosomal RNA
Source: RNAcentral